RNAcentral lists this ribosomal RNA (500 nucleotides) under uncultured bacterium. Its description in RNAcentral is "partial 16S ribosomal RNA". It matches the Rfam family "Bacterial small subunit ribosomal RNA", at positions 29 to 507 of the family's 1533-position model. The record is from RNAcentral.
AAUCAACGCUGGCGGCGUGCCUAACACAUGCAAGUCGAACGCGAAAGCCCCGCAAGGGGUAAGUAGAGUGGCAAACGGGUGAGUAACACGUGGGUGACCUGCCUUCGAGUGGGGGAUAACGUCCCGAAAGGGACGCUAAUACCGCAUGACAUCCUGCUUUUGAAAAAGCGGAGAUCAAAGCUGGGGAUCGCAAGACCUAGCGCUUGAAGAGGGGCCCGCGCCUGAUUAGCUAGUUGGUGAGGUAACGGCUCACCAAGGCGACGAUCAGUAUCCGGCCUGAGAGGGCGGACGGACACACUGGGACUGAGACACGGCCCAGACGCCUACGGGAGGCAGCAGUGGGGAAUUGUUCGCAAUGGGCGCAAGCCUGACGACGCAACGCCGCGUGGAGGACGAAGAUCUUCGGGUCGUAAACUCCUGUCGAGCGGGACGAACGCUUCGCGGAUGAAUAAGCCGCGGAAUUGACGGUACCGCUAAAGGAAGCCCCGGCUAACUCCGUG